This 391-nucleotide unclassified non-coding RNA is filed under the name soil metagenome. RNAcentral's name for it is "partial contains 5.8S ribosomal RNA, internal transcribed spacer 2, and large subunit ribosomal RNA". The stretch from base 1 to 122 matches the Rfam family "5.8S ribosomal RNA", at positions 35 to 154 of the family's 154-position model. The record is from RNAcentral.
GAUGAAGAACGUAGCGAAAUGCGAUACUUGGUGUGAAUUGCAGAAUCCCGUGAACCAUCGAGUCUUUGAACGCAAGUUGCGCCCGAAGCCACUAGGCCGAGGGCACGCCUGCCUGGGCGUCACACGCCGUUGCCCCCCCAUCUACUCCUUCGGGAUUGCGGGGGGGCGGAUGAUGGCCUCCUGUGCGCCUAGCCGCGCGGUUGGCAUAAAUACCAAGUCCUCGGCGACGCACGCCACGACAAUCGGUGGUUGCGAAACCUCGGUUGCCCGUCGUGUGCGUUCGUCGCGCAUCGAGGGCUCGAAAAAAUGCUCGGCUCCGGCUGGGCUUUCAACGCGACCCCAGGUCAGGCGGGGUUACCCGCUGAAUUUAAGCAUAUCAAUAAGCGAAGGA